Molecule: ribosomal RNA, 484 nt
Filed under: uncultured bacterium
Lineage: Bacteria
Description: partial 16S ribosomal RNA
Rfam family: Bacterial small subunit ribosomal RNA (bases 50-484)
Source: RNAcentral
GGGGGGGGGGGGGGGGGGGCGGGGGGGGGGGGGGGCGGGCGGGGGCGGGGGGGUGGGCCUGGCGGGGGGUGGCGAGCGGGGGGGUGGUACAUCGGAGCGUGCCCCGUCGGGGGGGAUGGCUCGGCGAAAGCCGGAUUAAUACCGCAUGCGACCUGAGGGGGAACGCGGGGGGUCUUCGGACCUCGCGCUAUUGGAGCGGCCGAUGGCAGAUUAGCUAGUUGGUGGGGUAAAGGCCUACCAAGGCGACGAUCUGUAGCUGGUCUGAGAGGACGACCAGCCACACGGGGACUGAGACACGGCCCAGACUCCUACGGGAGGCAGCAGUGGGGAAUUGUGGACAAUGGGCGAAAGCCUGAUCCAGCAAUGCCGCGUGUGUGAUGAAGGCCUUCGGGUUGUAAAGCACUUUUGGCGGGAACGAAAAGGACUGUGCCAAUACCACGGUUCGAUGACGGUACCCGCAGAAUAAGCACCGGCUAACUACGUG